UAAUCAAUAGGUGCUUAUGCUCCAAUUCUUUUAUGGUGACCAUCUAAAAUAGAAAACAGCAGGACAAUUGCUAUGUCAUCAAACAUGAUCAUCAUCAGUACUAGGGUUUCUUUAGGCCAUGUUAUUAGUCUUGACCUGUCUAGGCAGCAUUGAUGCAUGUUCAUGUGUUCUUUUUCUUAAACUGUCAGUCAUUAUUUGACUAUGUUGUAUUGCUGUUGGCAUGUUCUAAUAUUUCAUGGCAAAUCUUAUAUCCCAAGUUUUUUAUAUGCCGUAGAGGACUAAGUACAACAACAUGGAGCCGGAUGCUAUUGAUUUCUUUGGGGAAUGUAUGAAUAGUCCCCGAAAUGGUCGUACUCCGCUUGCAAAUGAGAUAUAUGAGCAAAUGGUUGCAGAGAAGGAAAGAGAGCUAGAAGAAGGAGAAGCA
Zea mays is the source of this 424-nucleotide RNA transcript. RefSeq lists it as uncharacterized. Lineage: Eukaryota; Viridiplantae; Streptophyta; Magnoliopsida; Poales; Poaceae. The record is from RefSeq and is a predicted model, not a curated record. The transcript is spliced from 2 exons.